AGGAAACAAAGAAAGGCUGGAAAAUCCCAAAAUCUGGAGUGUAACUCCAGCGCGGCUCUGCGAUGCAGCUCGCAGCGGCUGUGACCAUCCCCACGGUGCGGAAGGACGUGAAGUCUGAAACUGCUCAUCCCAAGCAGGGUCGCGGUGAGCCGGAGCCUAACCCAGCAACACACAGUGCAUGGCUGGAGGGGGAGGGGACACACCCAGGACCGGACGCCAGUCCAUUGCAAGGCAACCCAACCAAGACUCGAACCCCAGACCCAGCAGAGAGCAAGAUCCAGCCAAACCCACUGCACCACCACACCACCGCAUCCCCCACAAAAGGAAUAGCAACAGAGGCAAAGUCAAUAAUAGGGAAUGUGGCAAAAGUUGAGUGAAGAAGAAGGGGAGGAUGAGGAGGAUGAGGAUGAGGAAGACGAGUUUCCACCGUGUUCAGAAGUAAAGCCUGGUGUGAAUCUGCGGCGCCAGCAGCGUUACAGCACUACUGAUGCCAGAGUAAGAAGAAGGACCAUCAUCCACACAACGAACAUCACGGAUCCUGCUGAGGAUACCGAGGCAGCAGAUGCUUCGGCAGAAACUGCCAGCAGCAAAGCUGUCACCACAAAGGGAAAGAGAGACGAGUGGUGACAGAACGGAGCGCCACGCGAGGACUCGUUCCUCCUGACGACAACGGCGGCGGCCGCACGGCGCUCUGCCCGCCAGCGUCUCCAGAUAUCACCAGACACGUGCCGUGAGUCCUUAUAAGGGACGAUUUUGUAUGAAAAGGAGUCGUCUUGACUGUUCGCGUCACAUUGGCGUUGGCCUAAUCAUUUGACAGUUUCCUCAGGUGUGAGGAGCUGUUCUUGCUUAAAGCUCAUCAGCUAAACCUGGGAAAGUUUGACUUAUUUAGUAGUAAAAGGAAAAAAAUUCUAUGAACUGCUCUGGCUUUGCGUGGAUCUGCGUGUGGGAGUGUGUGAAUUUGUAGCCAUGUGUGCAAGAUAGCAGUCAAUGGCACAGCGCUCAUCAUUUUUUCC
This 1013-nucleotide long non-coding RNA is filed under the name Scleropages formosus (Asian bonytongue). RNAcentral describes it as "lncRNA (ENSSFOG00015025150.1)". Lineage: Eukaryota; Metazoa; Chordata; Actinopteri; Osteoglossiformes; Osteoglossidae. The record is from RNAcentral.